This is a non-coding RNA of Phrynosoma platyrhinos (Desert horned lizard), 71 nucleotides long. The record is from the annotation of a GenBank genome assembly. Lineage: Eukaryota; Metazoa; Chordata; Lepidosauria; Squamata; Phrynosomatidae.
GCCAGUGUGGCUUAGUGGUUUCAGCAUUGGACUACAACUCUGGAAACUAGGGUUUAAUUCCCAGGUUGGCC